UGAAGUCAACGUACAUGGUAGCAGAGU
RNAcentral lists this non-coding RNA (27 nucleotides) under Homo sapiens (human). The record is from RNAcentral. Lineage: Eukaryota; Metazoa; Chordata; Mammalia; Primates; Hominidae.